Molecule: long non-coding RNA, 1198 nt
Organism: Chelonia mydas (Green sea turtle)
Lineage: Eukaryota; Metazoa; Chordata; Testudines; Cheloniidae
Exons: 2
Source: RefSeq, a predicted model, not a curated record
GCCAGCGCCUGUUAAAGGGACAGCAGCUGACUGCCUCCUCCCCUCGGCUCCCCGGGCGGGGCUGGGCCGGGCCGGGCCGGGCCGGGCGAGCGGGCCCCGGCAGCAGGGGGAGGAGCGGGGCCCUGGACGGCUCCCCACGGAGCUGGCCCGGGGACCCCUGCCUGCGGCGGGAAGGAAAAGCCCCGCUUGUCUCCGGGACCGGCCUGCCCGGAUCCGGCUUCGUAAGCGUCUGCCCGGCGCGGGGAAUUUAACCGCUUCGUCCGCCGGCGAGUGGGGGCGGCCCCAGGGCGCUGGGCUGGGAGGGGCCCGUUGGGAAGGUGAAAGUAUCAGCUCCAGGUCCGCGCACGGCUCCCCGGCGGCCCCUUCGCCUCCAGCUCCGACUGCCGCAGAGGGAGAGCGCGCCAGCGAGCCCCGGAGCCCGGCUCCCGUCCCGGACGCCUGGAGAAUUCCAUGGUGUCCUUUAGGAGAGAUGUAAAAGGUAGAAUAUUGCAGCCGGCCAGAAGUGUUGGGGACGAAGCAUCACCCACCAUGGGAUGGGCCUCAUUUAACUCAAUCAAGAGUGAGAACAAGCAACAUCUUUGGGCCCAGAUAGGCCUUGUGUUUACAGUCAGGACACUGGAGCAUCAACAAAAGCAAAAGAACCCCAAGACAAGACACUAUGACCUUCAGGUCUUCUUCGGAGUCCCUGGGUCCCAGGCUAGAGUCCCCCAUCCUGUAAGUACAGCCUCCGUUCUUUGUUCCCAGGUGUGUACAUUUACCCAUGUUAAAAUCUGCAUUGUUUGCUUGCAGCCAGCUUACCAAAUGAUCCAGAUCACUUUGUCCUCUUCAUUACUUACCAUGCUCCCAAUUUUUGUGUCAUCUGCAAACUUGAUCAGUGACUAUUUUGUUUUCUUCCAGGUCAUUGAUAAAAAUGUUAAUUAGUGUAAAUCCUAGAACCAAUUCCUGUGAUAUCCCAGUAGAAACUGACCUGAACAAUGAUGAUUCCCUUUUACAGUUACGUUUUGAGACCUAUCAGUCAGUCAGUUUUUAAUCCAUGUAAUGUGUGCCAUGGUAAUUUGAUAUCUUUCUAGUUUUGUAACCAAAAUGAUGUGUGGUACCAAGUCAAAUGUGGUAUGGAAGUCUACGUAUAUUACAUCAAUACUGUUAUCUUUAUCAACCAAAUUUGUAAUCUCAUUUAAAAAUACAUAUGUCAAGUUAG